Long non-coding RNA from Gordionus sp. m RMFG-2023, 1089 nucleotides. RefSeq lists it as uncharacterized. The record is from RefSeq and is a predicted model, not a curated record. Lineage: Eukaryota; Metazoa; Nematomorpha; Gordioida; Chordodea; Parachordodidae. The transcript has 2 exons.
UUAAUAUUUACAUACACAUUUUUGUAGAAAAUUAUAAAAUAGACUAAACCUCAAAAGCUAAUUACAUACCAUUUUUGUAGAAAAUUAUAAAAUAAAGACUAAACCUCAAAAGCUAUUUACAUACCAUUUUUGUAAAAAAUUAUAAAAUAAAGACUAAACCUCAAAAGGUAUUUACAUACCAUUUUUGUAGAAAAUUAUAAAAUAAAGACUAAACCUCAAAAGCUAUUUAUAUACCAUUUUUGUAGAAAAUUAUAAAAUAAUGACUAAACCUUAAAAGCUAUUUACAUACCAUUUUUGUAGAAAAUUAUAAAAUAAAGACUAAACCUCGAAAGCUAUUUAUAUACCAUUUUUGUAGAAAAUUAUAAAAUAAAGACUAAACCUCAAAAGCUAUUUAUAUACCAUUUUUGUAGAAAAUUAUAAAAUAAAGACUAAACCUUAAAAGCUAUUUACAUACCAUUUUUGUAGAAAAUUAUAAAAUAAAGACUAAACCUCAAAAGCUAUUUACAAACCAUUUUUGUAGAAAAUUAUAAAAUAAAGACUAAACCUUAAAAGCUAAUAUCAAAUAUAAAUACCUCAAGGCAAAGUCACGACAUUAGUGCCUCCUUUGAUAAAUCCUCGACAAGAAGUUGGAGACAGUGAUGUGGGAAUUUCUGGGAACUUGUUGGAAGAAAGUCAAAUGUUCAAUCCUCCACAAGAAGUUGGAGACAGUGAUAUGGGGAUAAUUUGUACUUUAAGUUUAUUCAUAAUUGCAUAAUGCUCUUUAGAUUUAUCAGGAUGGUGGUGAAUAUGUUUCAAUGUAAAUUUCAUUUUAUUACAAAUUCAAUUGUUUUUUAGAUAUUUUUAUUAUUAAUUGUAAAAAAUGCUAACAUAUAAAAAUUGAAUUUAUUAUUCUUUGGGAAAGUAAAAUUAUAUUGGAAGUUCUAUAUUUAUAUUGAGAUUGAAUGGUGUUAUAUCUGUGAGGAAAAGAUUGGUGAAAAGGACAUCUUUUCCAUCUAUGAAAUUUUUUUCUCCAUAUUAAUUAAGUUGUUGUUGUUUUAAAAUGUCAUAUUACUAUUUAUUAUAUUUUAAUAAAGGAUAUUUUAAAUUUUA